UGCAAUUAAAUUAUUUAGGGAAAAAUUAAUUAAUAUAAAUGCAUGAAAAAUAAAAAACAAAAAGUGUAAAAUUAUUGGGAUGAAAGCUGAUGGUAGCAUCCCCUAUUGCUUGUUAACUGACAAGUAAAUGACAUCUAGCUUAAUUAAAAUAGGUUUGGUACUGAAUCACUAGGUAAUAAUAAAGUUUAUGAGAAUGUAUUAUAAAGAACACAUCUUUCCUACAUAAUUUUUGGUUUUUUGGUUGCACAAAACAGUAGGGGGUGGUGGUGCUUGGUGAUAAGGUACUGUGGGAGGGUAGCUAUGUUGAUGAAAGAGUAUCAGAUAUAAUAAGAGGACAGAAAAUUUCCAGUUAAAGCAUAUUAAGGCUUAAAUAGACCUGAGACUACUAAACACCGGAAAUAUUUCGCUGAGGAAUACAUUUCAUUGAGAAAAUAGUUUUCGUGAAAGUAAUUUAUAUCAAACAACAUGGAGGCUAAGUGUGAGAAUGCAAAAAGAAGACAGAUAAAAGAAUCAAUGGCCUUAAGGGCGAGGAUGGCUAAAUUUUAAAUGGAAUAUAAACUUGAAGACAAAGAAGAGAGAGGAAUUCAGGUUCUAGGCUUUCCAAGCAAAAAAAUCAUUUUUUACGUUGCAAGACUAACAGUAGGGAACGAUCUUCCAUUGUUGGUUACGGUUGUCUCCUUUCCACCAUUCCCAGAGAGCAACAAUGGUCCCGUCACGGACACCUCCAUGUUCUUUAUCAGCAUUCCAUGCAUCUAGAUUGAGGCGAAUGUUAUUAACCAUCCUAACUGCUCGAUAACCAUCACUCACGUCCCUGCUCUCUGUCCACAAGACUGAUGCAUCAAGAACAUCAGGGUCGUAAGGGGUGAGCUGCACCUGUAGAGGAAUUUUAAUAGGAAUGUAACUCACCUUCCAGUCAAAAGCCAUGUAACAUCAGGAAGGCAAGGCCCUUGAACAUCAGUGUGUUAAUUACCUUCAAGCAUAUGUAAAUUCCAUACUCAUGCAUUUGCAACAAUCAAGGUGCAUGGAGCAAGGGUAAUAUUAGUUGAAAUCACAUAUAGUACUUAAAUAGGCAACAUAACAAUAGCAAUUCACAUCACAAAGAAUCAAGUUUAAGAUGCAAAUUCUUCUUGUAUAAACCCAAGCCACAAAUGCCUAUAACAACAACAACAACAACAAACCCAGUGUAUCCCACAAAUAGUAGCCACAAACGUCUAUGUUUCACUAAUUUCCUCUUAGCAACUUAAAGGUUUUCUGCAGUUAAUGAAUUCAAAACUUAAACUCAACAUGGCCACGAUGCCUCUAGUUCUAAUUUCACCAUAGCCUCAGUUUAUCUCACACCCAUUGCACAUUAUUUCUUAAUUGAAGAGAGUGCAGAUACUGUAGGAGAAAAAAGUAGAUGAACUAAAGCUAGAGCUAGUAUGAAAAUGCUUCCAACUAUUCUCUCUACAACAUGGUCAAACUGGUGUAACGAUGCAGAAUUGCGGGUGUUGCAGUGAAUCAGCACACAUACUUGGACGAAUAAAUCAUCCAUGUACUGGAAUCAGCAUGGAACAAUAUUGCUCUGCUUUAGUUCUAUUUUGAUCCUAAUUGCUCGAACUCGGGUGCGGAUAUACGAGUGCGGAUCUAGAGGUCGGCUUCUUCAUCAUAUGAGUUUUAGAAUUUGAGGGUAUGGAUCCAAGUGCGAAUACGGGUGCUUAGAUACGGCUAAUAUAUGCACGUUACGACAUUUAUAAGUAUAUGUUUCUAUUAAUUAAAGUUAGUGAGCAAAGACUAAUGGUAAAGUUUAAUUCUUUAUAAACACCUAAUAAAUUCUUCAUAAUAUAUAUGACAUAAACCUACAAAAUCAAACUAGAUACCCGAUCAAUCAAUACUUCUCGAUCAUAGAUAUAGUCAAAGCACCCACGGUAAGUUUUCCAAAUCUAGUGUAGAUCCGACACCCACACCCAUGUAGUGUCGACAAUGCGAGGAUUUUCAGGAGUCACGCAACAUAGCUUUAGAUAAAAGUAAUGCACACAUAAUCAUCAUCACCUUUUUUUCCUUUUUAAAGAGUAAAUUCCAAUUAAUAAUAAAUGCAUAUCAAUAGUGCUUUAACUUCUAGAUAUUUGUUUAAUUUCUAGCUUAUGCUCAUUACCAAUAGACUAUAAGUUAUGCAAGUUCAAGAUCUCAUCUAUCUAGCUAUGCUAUGAAUAAAUCAAAGAGAAAUAGUGAAGCUUAUGAAACCUUCUUGGCACCUAAAAUCCAUACUAGUAUUAUGUUUGUCAUUUACAAACCCCUCCACCUCUUUUUUGUGGAUAAAAUCAGCCUGUUUUGAAUAUAGACAACAGUAUUGAUGCCAAGAAUUAAGCUAUUUUCAGGGGUUAGCCGUACUUCUAGAGGGCACCUAAAAUCCAAAAAACCAUGUUCAUCAUUAAAAAAAAAAAACUAUUCAGUCUACAUAUUGGGUUAAACUUUCCUUCAGAACAUAUAAGGUUUCUCUUCCCCCAUAGUGUCCAAACAAUGCAUACUUGAAUCAUGCUUGAAUCCUGUAUUUCUAAAAGAAGUCAUAACUGAGCCUUCACAUAAAUUAUUAAUCCUUUGCAGUCAACAUUAAAAAUCUCAAAAGAUCCAUUUCUCUGAUUUCUCUAGUCAAUCCGUGAAAAAUUCAUAGUAUGCAUCAUUUGCAAGUCACAGCAUUUGUCUUAGGUGGAAAUCUCUAAUAUCCUUUUCCAGGACAAAGUAAUGGGUUGGCUAUCAAGGUUUAACAAUUCAUUCAAUAACAAACAAAUAUCUAUUUUAUUUUUCAGCGCUUAUGGUUAACAAGAUACAGAACAUACAGGGUGAGAGGCGCCAACAGAGUGCUUCAUGGCCAGUCCUGCAGCUUUAUUAACCAGAGCAAAGCUUGGAAACCCCUCUUCAUCCUUCACUUUAGUGCUGUACUUCUCAUCUUUAUACCAGUGCUGCAAACAAAUUCACACAGAAAAAAUUACAUCAUAUUCACAGCAAAGAAUCAACAAAAUUCAAAAAAAGAAGAAAAAGGACCUACUUGAAAAGGAUCGGAUGGAUCAGAAGAGGCAAGAACGACUUUGCCGUCACGGAUAGUGAGAGAGUAAUUGGGAUCAGCCUUUGUAUAAACCCUAAAUGAAGGCUUAUCGAUGAGCUCUGGAUGUGGUGAGGUCUCAUGGUGGAAGAAUGAAGGCACAUGUGGUUGAAAACGAUGAUGAUCAUGCUGACGAUGAACGCUCUCACUCUCACUCUCGUGAGACACGUGUUCGACGGAGGAAUAACUAGGUGGUUGCGGUGGUGGCGGGCCCUCAUAAUAAGGCGGUGUACGAUUAUAAGAUCCACCAUAGUUCUCCUCCAUUCGCGGAGGCGGAUAAUUAGUCCGACCAUAACUAUCCUCCAUUGACGGAGGAGGAUAACUAGUCCGACCAUAAUCGUCCUCCAUAGGUGGCGGUGGAGGAUAAUGAGGACGGUUAUAAUUGGGAUCCAUCGGUGGUGGUCCACCUACAUGGGAAGUGUGAUAGACAUGGGUAACUUCUGACGGUGGUGGUUCGUCGUAGGCUGACGGUGGUGGUCGUCGUCCGGGAGGUGGAAAUUCCUCUCCACCGUCGUCGUCGCGACGGUGGUGGUGGUGUCCAAAAGGAAAUUCCAUUAUUUAUGACAAAAUUAGGGCUG
Molecule: long non-coding RNA, 3654 nt
Filed under: Nicotiana tabacum (common tobacco)
Lineage: Eukaryota; Viridiplantae; Streptophyta; Magnoliopsida; Solanales; Solanaceae
Description: long non-coding RNA (NTAB_LNC003146)
Source: RNAcentral